AUUGAACGCUGGCGGCAUGCUUUACACAUGCAAGUCGAACGGCAGCGCGGGCUUCGGCCUGGCGGCGAGUGGCGAACGGGCGAGUAAUGCAUCGGAACGUGCCCAGUAGUGGGGGAUAGCCCGGCGAAAGCCGGAUUAAUACCGCAUACGACCUGAGGGUGAAAGCGGGGGGCCGAAAGGCCUCGCGCUAUUGGAGCGGCCGAUGUCGGAUUGGCUAGUUGGUGGGGUAAAGGCUUACCAAGGCGACGAUCCGUAGCUGGUCUGAGAGGACGACCAGCCACACUGGGACUGAGACACGGCCCAGACUCCUACGGGAGGCAGCAGUGGGGAAUUUUGGACAAUGGGGGCAACCCUGAUCCAGCCAUGCCGCGUGCGGGAAGAAGGCCUUCGGGUUGUAAACCGCUUUUGUUCGGGAAGAAAUCCUCUGGGCUAAUACCCCGGGGGGAUGACGGUACCGGAAGAAUAAACACCGGCUAACUACGU
This 483-nucleotide ribosomal RNA is filed under the name uncultured bacterium. RNAcentral describes it as "partial 16S ribosomal RNA". It matches the Rfam family "Bacterial small subunit ribosomal RNA", at positions 28 to 506 of the family's 1533-position model. The record is from RNAcentral.